UUUAUGACGGCUGCGCUGUUUGUUGCACUCAUUGUGGUCCUGCUCUCGAUCCACGUCUCGGGAACGGUGCCGAGACUCCCGGUGUCUGUGGUCACUGCUCCCGUGGGUCUCGUCUCUGUGGUUGUGGUCACGGUGUGAGGCAUAGUGGUCCACGUGGUCAUGGGAAUAAUCUUCCUUUGGCUCUAUGUAGGCAGAGUCUCGACUCUCCUGGGUUUCCGAGUCAAAUGUCUCUUGCCUGGAGAGGCCGCGACUUGUCCCACUGCGAUGGUUGUGGUGUGGGGCUGAGGAGGAAGAGCGGUGCUGGGAUUUCUUGACUGGUUCCACACUAGGUUCUUCUUCAGCUUGGGAAGCAGAACGGAUAGGAGCGGAGCGAUCAGUCCUUUGAUCACCUUGAGAACCCUGGCAGCAAAAGGAGCAUACCAAGGCGUUAACCAAGACUAUGGAAAUGAUGUCAGACAAAAAGCGAACUUGAGUGACUUUCUUAUUCUAGUUCAAAAUGGGUCGUAAAGCAGUAGAGACAGCUUGCAAUAUCAACAAUGCAUUUGGCCCAGGAGUUGCUAAUGAACGUAUAGUGCAGUGGUGGUUCAAGAAGCCAAUUUGCAAAGGAGAAGAGAGCCUCGAAGAUGAAGAGCAGAGUGGCUGACCAUUGGAAGUUGACAACGACUACUUGAGAGCAAUCAUCAAAGCUGAUUUUCUUACAACUGCACGAGAAGUUGCUGAAGAAUUCAACAUCGACCAUUCUAUGGUCGUUCUGCAUUUGAAGCAAAUUAGAAAGGUGAAAAAACUCGAUAAGUGGGUGCCCUAUGAGCUGAGCCAAAAAAAAAUUGUUGUUUGGAAGAGUCAUCUUCUCUUAUUUUGUGCAACAACAAUGAACCAUUUUUCAAUCGGAUUGUGACAGGUGACAAAAAUUGGAUUUUAUAUGACAACCAGUGACAACCAGCUCAGCUGUUGGACUGAGAAGCUCCAAAGCACUUCCCAAAGCCAAACUUGCACCAAAAAAAAGAAAGGUCAUGGUCACUGUUUGGUGGUGUGCUGCCAGUCUGAUCCACUAUAGCUUUCUGAAUCCCAGCGAAAACAUUACAUCUGAGAAGUACGCUCAGCAGAUGGAUGAGAUGCACCGAAAACUAGAACGCCUGUAGCCAGCAUCGGUCAACAGAAAGGGCCCAAUUCUUCUCCAUGACAACUCCCAACUGCACGUUGCACAACCAGCACUUCAAAAGUUGAAUGAAUUGGGCUAUGAAGUUUUGCCUCAUCCGCCAUAUUUACCUGACCUCUCAACAACCGACUGCCACUUCUUCAAGCAUCUCGACAACUUUUUGCAGAGAAAAUGGUUCCACAACCAGGAGGAUGCAGAAAAUGCUUUCCAAGAGUUUACCGAAUCCCAAAGCACAGAUUUUUAUGCUACAGGAAUAAACAAACUUAUUUCUCAUUGGCAAAAA
This is a long non-coding RNA of Piliocolobus tephrosceles (Ugandan red Colobus), 1439 nucleotides long. RefSeq lists it as uncharacterized. The record is from RefSeq and is a predicted model, not a curated record. The transcript has 2 exons. NCBI's taxonomy places the organism in Eukaryota, Metazoa, Chordata, Mammalia, Primates, Cercopithecidae.